RNAcentral lists this non-coding RNA (24 nucleotides) under Cricetulus griseus (Chinese hamster). The record is from RNAcentral. Lineage: Eukaryota; Metazoa; Chordata; Mammalia; Rodentia; Cricetidae.
GACAUCCUGCAGUCUGGCUGCUGA